UCAACAGCCUGUUCUGUCCUUUGGAGUGUUCGAGGUACUCGUUACUCUCUUGCAGUUCAGCCACCAGGUUUUCUAGCUCCUCCACCGAAUGCAGGCUAGUUGCCAUACUGCCACACGGUGAUCCAACAACUUCAAACUGUGUGCUGUGUAGCUGGGCAAGUGUGCUGAGUGUAGGCGCUAUUUAGGUGAUAACACGAGGAGCAUUAUAGGCGCUAUACGUAGGUGAAAGGAUGUGGAGAAUAGGCACUUAUAUAUGUAGGUGAACUAGUAGGUUCAGGUAAACUAUAGUAAGUGUAGGCGUAGGUGAACUAUAGUAGGUGUAGGUGUAGGUGAACUAGUAGGUUCAGGUAAACUAUAGUAAGUGUAGGCGUAGGUGAACUAGUAGGUGAAGGCGUAGGUGAACUAUAGUAGGUGUAGGUGAACUAUAGUAGGUGUAGGUGUAGGUGAACUAGUAGUAGGUGAAGGCGUAGGUGUAGGCGAACUAGCAUUCCCGAUAAUCACUUGAUGUUGCUUAAUUCCUGCUUCAGCAUGUUUAUCCCACCGCUGCCACCAAUGUAACGGGUUUUGUCCGGGGUCCCUGCACCAUUUACCGAGCGGUCAAUAAAUCUCACGAGACUCCAAUCACCCGCACGGUUCUUUCAUAAACAGUGAAGCUAUCACUCCAACAUCAUCGAUCGCACUCAGAUCACGCUACUUUUCUAUAAUACACGGAAACACAGUGUCAUUUUACAUCAAAAGGUACUUGCCUUUAUUCACGAAGAACUCCAACUUUACAAUGUAACUUCCCUUCAACAGCUAGCAGCAGUACUCCGAUUCACCCUGUUUCACCUAUCUUAUCCUGCCCUCCCUAGCUACCUGCCCGAACACGUCCUC
RNAcentral lists this long non-coding RNA (873 nucleotides) under Strongylocentrotus purpuratus (purple sea urchin). Its description in RNAcentral is "uncharacterized LOC115928678, transcript variant X2". The record is from RNAcentral. Lineage: Eukaryota; Metazoa; Echinodermata; Echinoidea; Camarodonta; Strongylocentrotidae.